Molecule: ribosomal RNA, 78 nt
Filed under: Oikeobacillus pervagus
Lineage: Bacteria; Bacillati; Bacillota; Bacilli; Caryophanales; Bacillaceae
Source: RNAcentral
CCGAACACGGAAGUUAAGCUCUUCAGCGCCGAUGGUAGUUGGGGGCUGUCCCCCUGCAAGAGUAGGACGUUGCCAAGC